GACGAACGCUGGCGGCGCGCCUAACACAUGCAAGUCGAACGAGCGAGCGAGAGCUUGCUUUCUUGAGCGAGUGGCGAACGGGUGAGUAACGCGUGAGGAACCUGCCUCAAAGAGGGGGACAAUAGUUGGAAACGACUGCUAAUACCGCAUAAGCCCACGGUGCCGCAUGGCACAGAGGGAAAAGGAGCAAUCCGCUUUGAGAUGGCCUCGCGUCCGAUUAGCUAGUUGGUGAGGUAACGGCCCACCAAGGCGACGAUCGGUAGCCGGACUGAGAGGUUGAACCGCCACAUUGGGACUGAGACACGGCCCAGACUCCUACGGGAGGCAGCAGUGGGGAAUAUUGCAAAAUGGGGGAAAUCAUGAUGCAGCUACGCCGCGUGGAGGAAGAAGGUCUUCGGAUUGUAAACUCCGGUUGUGGGGGAAGAUAAUGACGGUACCCAACAAGGAAGUGACGGCUAACUACGUG
Molecule: ribosomal RNA, 466 nt
Filed under: uncultured bacterium
Lineage: Bacteria
Description: partial 16S ribosomal RNA
Rfam family: Bacterial small subunit ribosomal RNA
Source: RNAcentral